This 420-nucleotide ribosomal RNA is filed under the name uncultured Leptolyngbya sp. Its description in RNAcentral is "bacterial SSU rRNA". It matches the Rfam family "Bacterial small subunit ribosomal RNA", at positions 356 to 790 of the family's 1533-position model. The record is from RNAcentral. Lineage: Bacteria; Bacillati; Cyanobacteriota; Cyanophyceae; Leptolyngbyales; Leptolyngbyaceae.
GGGGAAUUUUCCGCAAUGGGCGAAAGCCUGACGGAGCAAUACCGCGUGAGGGAGGAAGGCUUUUGGGUUGUAAACCUCUUUUAUCAGGGAAGAAACAAAUGACGGUACCUGAUGAAUCAGCAUCGGCUAACUCCGUGCCAGCAGCCGCGGUAAUACGGAGGAUGCAAGCGUUAUCCGGAAUUAUUGGGCGUAAAGCGUCCGUAGGUGGUUUUUCAAGUCUGCUGUCAAAGCGUGGAGCUCAACUCCAUAUCGGCAGUGGAAACUGGGAGACUAGAGUGCGAUAGGGGUAACGGGAAUUCCCAGUGUAGCGGUGAAAUGCGUAGAGAUUGGGAAGAACACCAGCGGCGAAAGCGCGUUACUGGGUCUGCACUGACACUGAGGGACGAAAGCUAGGGGAGCGAAAGGGAUUAGAUACCCCUG